Molecule: ribosomal RNA, 231 nt
Filed under: Triticum aestivum (bread wheat)
Lineage: Eukaryota; Viridiplantae; Streptophyta; Magnoliopsida; Poales; Poaceae
Description: partial small subunit ribosomal RNA
Source: RNAcentral
AUGCCAGCAUGGCGGUCAUCCUUGGAGCCGAUAACAAGCCGCCAUGUGUCAUUGGAACCGUCGAACCACGCAGUGGUCGGGUCCCGGAAGUCCUUCUCCCCGACGCCCGGCGGCGGGUACAUCACCGGAUUGUUCUCAUACUUGGUCCAGUUGGUUAGUAAGGGAUCGGAGGGGUCGGUAGGGAAGGCAAGGCAUUGGACCUGGACGGAGGCGUUGGUGGAGCCGGUGUAG